This 498-nucleotide long non-coding RNA is filed under the name Bos taurus (domestic cattle). RNAcentral's name for it is "long non-coding RNA NONBTAT011211". Lineage: Eukaryota; Metazoa; Chordata; Mammalia; Artiodactyla; Bovidae. The record is from RNAcentral.
UGAAGCAAUAGAUUUUUAAAAUAAGAAGACCCAUGCUUUGGUUUCUUGAUUCUUAAAAAAAAAAUGUUGAACCAACUUCCUGAACUAGAAGCCAUGGAAAUGAAAAGCCAGCAGAGCAAACAGAUGAAGCUGAGUGUUUUGUUAAUCUGUAAAGUCAGCAUUCCUCACAUGGUCCAUAUUCCUUCUUCCUGGAUCAGACAUCUGCUUGUUUGUGUUUUCCAUCCAGGCAGUGUUUUAUCCCUUCCCUUCCUCUCCAAAAUGUUUGUUGAUUUUCAGAUUUGCAGGAAGAUCUUUAUGUGAUGGCUGUAUUUAUUCCUUUGCAGCUCUUGAUAUAGUAAAAUGUAUCUCUGAUUCUUGUCUACAUUCAAGUUUAGUGAUUUCCUAGCUUCUUGGUCAAUACUUGUACCUCUUCAGGCUUUGAGUUUGUUUUGUGAGAAGGAGGCUGAGAAUUUCUUCUUCAAAUUGCUUCAGGUUAAGUGACCUUCUGCCUAGGAGUCU